RNAcentral lists this long non-coding RNA (237 nucleotides) under Ictidomys tridecemlineatus (thirteen-lined ground squirrel). RNAcentral's name for it is "lncRNA (ENSSTOG00000032090.1)". The record is from RNAcentral. Lineage: Eukaryota; Metazoa; Chordata; Mammalia; Rodentia; Sciuridae.
UGCAAAUGUGUUUUAGGGUAUGAAGGUAGCUCGGGUGGAGCCUGUUUGCAGUAUUGUUACCAGGUUACACUUCUCUGCACAUUGUGCAUUUGUGAUCAAGGUCAUCAGAGACAAGAUUAACAUGCAAAUGAAACAGCAGAAAGGAACAAAGAUACUGCAAUAUUGGAAAUUCAAAACUGACUAACAUGUGGAAAGACAUCUUUAUAGCAUCAGUGAGAAAACUAUAAGAAAGCUAAA